GACGAACGCUGGCGGCGUGCUUAAUACAUGCAAGUCGAACGGAAAGGCGCGGCGCUUGCUGGUUUCUCGAGUGGCGAACGGGUGAGUAUCACGUGUGGAACCCGUCCCUGACAUUGGGGGAACUCCAGGAAAAACGGGCGAAUACACGAUAGGAGCUUCUGCUGCAUGGGGGGGGUAGGAAAGUGGCGGCGUUUGGGGAUGGACUCGCGGCUUAGCAGCUUGUUGGUGGGGUAGUGGGUUACCAAGGCUUUGAGGGGAAGCCGACCUGCGAGGGUGACCGGCCACAUUGGGCCUGGGGAGGGGCCCAGACUGCUACGGGAGGCAGCGGUGGAAAAUAUUCCGCAAUGGGCCGAAGCCUGAUGCAGGAGCGCCGCGUGCGGAAUGACGGCCUUCGGGUUGUAACCCGCUUUCGACUGUAACGAAGAGUGAGUGACGGUAACGGAUCAGAAAGCAACGGCUAACUACGUG
This 468-nucleotide ribosomal RNA is filed under the name uncultured bacterium. Its description in RNAcentral is "partial 16S ribosomal RNA". It matches the Rfam family "Bacterial small subunit ribosomal RNA", at positions 28 to 507 of the family's 1533-position model. The record is from RNAcentral.